Long non-coding RNA from Cuculus canorus (common cuckoo), 1123 nucleotides. RefSeq lists it as uncharacterized. Lineage: Eukaryota; Metazoa; Chordata; Aves; Cuculiformes; Cuculidae. The record is from RefSeq and is a predicted model, not a curated record. The transcript is spliced from 4 exons.
UGUUCUGUAGGUCACUUGUGGCUUUAGAAAAAGAAAAGCAUUUGUAAUCCACAGUGAUUUUAAGGACUGUAAAAAUUGUUUAGCUGUUAACGAGCUGUGAGCACUUGAUAGCUGACAGCAAGACAUGUGUAUCACCUUCGGUGCAUUCUCACAUUCUUGUGACAAAGCUGGUUCAGCAAAACAUUUUUAAUCCUUCUUUCUGGCUGGCAAAGAAGAGACAUGUUAUGCAGGUAGACGCAUCCUGAAUCUGAGACUUUUUUAGUGACUAAAAAUAACAACAGUUAUGGAUGUCCUCUACAACUGGCGAUUGGCGAGCAAAUAUGGAGAUGAAGAAGGAACAGAGGUCUUCAAGCAAGCCCCAAGACUGGUGCCUGGGAGAACGAAGAACUGAGAAAAUAUCAGUAUAACUAGUGAUUAGCUCCAGGCACCAUGUUCAGAUCCAAACUACUACUUUUUAUCUCUACCCUUUGGCGAGUAACAUUUGAUAUUCCUCAGAAAUACCUAAGAGAGGAGUUCUCAUCUUCCUGUGAGACCAGCCCUGGGAGAGACAACACCUGGUUGCUCAGGAGCAAACCUUCACCAUACCCUGGCCCCCAGGGAUGCUCCCGGAGAUGCAGAAGGCAGCUUCUUUCUCAUAUCUCUUUACUCACAGCAUCUGCUGCCAGCUCUUACCCCACAUGUGCCUUCUCCAAGUCAUGCCACAUCCAAAGGGCUAAAAAGCUGCUAAAGGACAGAAGACAUCUUUUGAUUUUAUGGCCUGACCAACAGUCAACGCUCACUGGAACACUCUUUCACAACGAUCAGAGAAAAGGGCCGCUUUGUUCCUCACUGUAUCACAUCCUUUUGGUCACCCUUUUCACUGCAGAAGGAGGACAGCAGCAAAGGGCACUCAGGAUUACACCUAGCAGUGGAAAUAUCCCCACAAAAACAUAUGAGCCGAGGGGUACUGUGUCAAUCAAGUGGCAGAAGGGCUGGGCUGCAUUGCCAACUGUUUUACUACAUGGUAAGAUGACACUUGGUGAUACUUCUUAAGACAGUAGCAACUGGACUUGUGUUAUCAUAUGAAAAAUCUUUUAUUAUUCUUUUCUCUCUGAAUAUCAGCUUGAAACAAAGAACUGAAGAC